Long non-coding RNA from Monodelphis domestica (gray short-tailed opossum), 1076 nucleotides. The record is from Ensembl. NCBI's taxonomy places the organism in Eukaryota, Metazoa, Chordata, Mammalia, Didelphimorphia, Didelphidae.
AUCCUGAGCAGAGUUGAAAAGGACUUAGAGAAGAAGAGAUUGGCGUAGCAUGGAAGUGACAAUAUGAGUUGUUUGUCAUCCCAGUAGAAUCCACAUAGUGCUACACCUGGUCAUUAUUGCCUAUUUCAAUUAACCAUGGGCCCAUCAAUAGCAGCCAUUGAAUUAACUUUCCUUCCUUUGAGGUUGAAAAGAUUUUUGCAGAAUUAUUCAAUCAGUUCCCAAAUUAGCCGAUGAGGAGCAGUUUAAUGACAUGCCAGUUCUUUUGUGGCAAGGAUAAUGUGUUUUGUCCUCUUCAAUAACGUCAUGUAUCUAUCACUGUAAAGGGAAGAGGCAGUGCAAUUUCUUGGGAGGAAAUUCUGAAUUAACUCGGGCUACUUAACUGCUUAUGGUGAUAGUUCUUACCCCAAAAAAAAGAAAAGAAAAGAAGAGAAAAGAAAAGAAAAGAAAAGCUGGUAUCCUAAAAGUUGGGCAAAAGGAUCAAACUGUACUUUCAAAGGAGCUCCAUUUCUGCACCUAACAUUUGCUACAUAUGUUCCCAAUAAAAUUGUAACAAUGUGAGCAUAUCUCAAAAGGAUUCAUAACAUUCUGUCACUUCAAUUUAAUGUUCUUACCAAUAAAAAAGAGAAGAGACUAUUUUGUCAUCAUUAAUAUGGCAGAUAGAAUUGUAAUUAUAUGCAAAUGAUCAAAUAUAUUUAAUUGCACAAUAGCUUAACUGCAACAUGAGAGGGACCAGAUGAUGGAAUAUUCUAUUUCUACAAAUGAAAGUACAUUUGGGAAUGCAAAUCUUUUGAAUAUAACCUAGAUGAAUGAUCUCCAUUUCAAGUAUUAAGACUGCAACGAAAAUACAGUCCUUCAUCUCAUUAGAGAUAUGGUUCUUGGAUAUAAUCAACUUCAAUCCUUUUAUAGAGGAAGAAAACAAAGAACUAAAGAGGAUAUCAAUUGCCCAAAGGUAUAAAAUAUAUACAGAAGAAGAAAUAUAUGAUAAUUUGAAGAUUGAGAAGACAAUUUUAACUAGGAAAAUACAGACAAGUCUCUCACUGAAAAUGAAAUUUAAGUUAAGCCUUGGGGAUAUCUAA